CGUGCGAAGGUAGCAUAAUCACUUGUUCUCUAAAUAAGGACUAGUAUCAACGGCAUCACGAGGGUUAUACUGUCUCCUCUCUCCAAUCAGUGAAACUGAUCUCCCCGUGAAGAAGCGGGGAUAAAUCUAUAAGACGAGAAGACCCCAUGGAGCUUUAAACUCAACAAUAUCUCCAUCUACAAAUUCUACAUAAAUUAGGAGACUCUACUUGUUAGUUUUAGGUUGGGGUGACCGCGGAGAAAAACUAAACCUCCACAACGAACGGAAUUAAUUCCUAAUCCAAGAGCAACCGCUCUAAGAAUCAACAAAUUGACAUAAAAUGAUCCGACUAUCGAUCAACGAACCAAGUUACCCUGGGGAUAACAGCGCAAUCCAUUUCAAGAGCUCCUAUCGACAAAUGGGUUUACGACCUCGAUGUUGGAUCAGGGUAUCCCAGUGGUGCAGCCGCUACUAAAGGUUUGUUUGUUCAACAAUUAAAACCC
Molecule: ribosomal RNA, 482 nt
Filed under: Nanorana sp. CMDN-A-0067
Lineage: Eukaryota; Metazoa; Chordata; Amphibia; Anura; Dicroglossidae
Description: Nanorana sp. CMDN-A-0066 partial large subunit ribosomal RNA
Rfam family: Bacterial large subunit ribosomal RNA
Source: RNAcentral